Molecule: ribosomal RNA, 693 nt
Filed under: Ralstonia pickettii
Lineage: Bacteria; Pseudomonadati; Pseudomonadota; Betaproteobacteria; Burkholderiales; Burkholderiaceae
Description: bacterial SSU rRNA
Rfam family: Bacterial small subunit ribosomal RNA
Source: RNAcentral
UGGAAGCUGUGCGGCUGCCUUUACUUGCAUCUCGAACGGCAGCAUGAUCUAGCUUGCUAGAUUGAUGGCGAGUGGCGAACGGGUGAGUAAUACAUCGGAACGUGCCCUGUAGUGGGGGAUAACUAGUCGAAGGAUUAGCUAAUACCGCAUACGACCUGAGGGUGAAAGUGGGGGACCGCAAGGCCUCAUGCUAUAGGAGCGGCCGAUGUCUGAUUAGCUAGUUGGUGAGGUAAAGGCUCACCAAGGCGACGAUCAGUAGCUGGUCUGAGAGGACGAUCAGCCACACUGGGACUGAGACACGGCCCAGACUCCUACGGGAGGCAGCAGUGGGGAAUUUUGGACAAUGGGCGAAAGCCUGAUCCAGCAAUGCCGCGUGUGUGAAGAAAGCCUUCGGGUUGUAAAGCACUUUUGUCCGGAAAGAAAUGGCUCUGGUUAAUACCUGGGGUCGAUGACGGUACCGGAAGAAUAAGGACCGGCUAACUACGUGCCAGCAGCCGCGGUAAUACGUAGGGUCCAAGCGUUAAUCGGAAUUACUGGGCGUAAAGCGUGCGCAGGCGGUUGUGCAAGACCGAUGUGAAAUCCCCGAGCUUAACUUGGGAAUUGCAUUGGUGACUGCACGGCUAGAGUGUGUCAGAGGGGGGUAGAAUUCCACGUGUAGCAGUGAAAUGCGUAGAGAUGUGGAGGAAUACCGAU